AAUUAAUAAAAAUGGUAAAAAACUGUAUCAGAUUGUUACAAAAGCAAAUUUGAUAAGAAGAAAAUUUGCUUGGUCAGAUAAUCGACUGCUUAUUUUACUGUAGCUGGCAUCAGGAAGCAUCCAAUCAUUUGUACAUAUGCAAGUUCCCCAAGGGGAAAAUAUAUAUGCAUCAGGACGCAGCUUAGCCAGCACUCUGUUGUAGAAUACUUACAUAGAAAUUUACCAAACUCUAAUUCAAUAUUUCACUUUGU
This is a long non-coding RNA of Abrus precatorius (Indian licorice), 251 nucleotides long. RefSeq lists it as uncharacterized. NCBI's taxonomy places the organism in Eukaryota, Viridiplantae, Streptophyta, Magnoliopsida, Fabales, Fabaceae. The transcript is spliced from 3 exons. The record is from RefSeq and is a predicted model, not a curated record.